CGCGCAGGCGGGUUUGUCAGUCAGGGUGAAAUCCUACAGCUUAACUGUAGAACUGCCUUUGAUACUGCAAACCUUGAGUUCGGAAGAGAGAGGCGGAAUUCCAGGUGUAGUGGUGAAAUACGUAGAUAUCUGGAAGAACACCAGAGGCGAAGGCGGUCUCUUGGUCCGUAACUGACGCUGAGGCGCGAAAGCGUGGGGAGCAAACA
RNAcentral lists this ribosomal RNA (206 nucleotides) under uncultured bacterium. Its description in RNAcentral is "partial 16S ribosomal RNA". It matches the Rfam family "Bacterial small subunit ribosomal RNA", at positions 568 to 774 of the family's 1533-position model. The record is from RNAcentral.